This 3223-nucleotide long non-coding RNA is filed under the name Daucus carota (carrot). Its description in RNAcentral is "long non-coding RNA (DCAR_LNC004201)". The record is from RNAcentral. Lineage: Eukaryota; Viridiplantae; Streptophyta; Magnoliopsida; Apiales; Apiaceae.
CCAAAAACAGAAACUUACACACCAGAAGUAAGUUCAACAGCAGUACAUCCAGAAACACGAGCCAUGCAGAUCAAGGAUUGGCAGCAACAAAUCCAAGAUCAGGAGGGAAGUCAGACAAUUCAGGCAGACUAGCAAACUGAUCUAUAAUUCCAGAUUCCAUUAACUCUUGUUCAACAACCACUCGAGUUACCUCAUCAGCUUUAGAAUCUAGGUCAUCACUUUCUUUUCUUAAACCCAUCUUUUCCUCAAUUUCAGCAAGCCUAGCACAGACUUUUAAGUGCUGAUUUUUAAGAUCUUUAAAAUUCUCUUUUGAUUCCUUAAGCAUUUUCUUUAAAAUUUCAGACUCUCUAAUAUAGUCAUGGUUGUGCAAACUGGUUGUGCUCCAUGUUAUAGAGCAAGGUUGGGUUGUAUUGUAUGUCAGGGUUAGGGUUAGGGUUUGGAAGAGGUUUGAAAUCCAUUUGGUGAAAAGUUAAAGUGAAAGUGAAAGUAUUUUUCUGGUGUGUGUGAAAGGGACAGAUGGGGGGUUAUAUAUGGAUAAAGGUGUAAGGUCUGUUUGGCUUUAGGGAAUAAGGAAUGAAAUUAAAUGUGGCAAGGAGAAUAAGGCAUGCAGACAGCCCGAAGUGCAUGUGUGUGCAUAUCUAAAUCAGUCCAUAUAAUACACACAUAAAGCAUAGAACUUUUGAAAAGGUAGUUGAGUAUAAAAGUAUGCUUCCUUAAAUGCAUAAGGACAGUUUUGAAAUGAUUUGUUUUGACUUAAAGAAAAUAUCUGUCCUUUUUGUCUCAUUUGUUUUAAAAACAGGGGGACAAGAUACUGUUUAUAAUGACAUCACUAACCCAUUUUGUCAAAACCUAUUUUUAGCUAGCGAUAGUCCACAGCAAGCAGGUCCAUUUUACAACUAUAUCACUUAGACAAAUAAUUUCAUACAUACAUCACAUAAUCUGUUCAAAAUUUUGUUCCAUGAUACCACAUACACAAGCCAUCCAAAUAUCCAGUAUAAAAAGAAUACAUUGAUCAGUCCAAAUUAAAAAAUCUAUCUUGACAGAUUAUAUUAGGUAAUGAAAAAUUGAUGUAAGUUCAGAAAAUUUAUCCAACUAUAGUUCCAGUUUAGAAAAACUCUACUUUUAUCAAACAAGUUUUAUUGUUCCAUAAAAUCCCAAUUUCUCCGUUUUCUCUUUAACUUAUGAAAAAUUACAAGCAAUCAAAUGCUCAAAUUACAAGCAUUUACAUAUAUAUAUCCAUCCAUAUUCAUCCAUCCACCAUUUUCAGCCUGCAAAAAUUCUUGAUAAAGAAGUCAGAAACUCAUCAACAUUAAUAAUGAAAGAAAAGUUUGCAAUUUCAGAGAGAAUAACAUGGCAAAUUAUACUCAGUUAUACAAAUAGCUAUCAUCAGAAAUAUGCAAUCAAUGGGUUUAAUGACAACAGACUUGUAAUAGUGUUCACAUAGAUAACAACUCUCAGGAUUAAUCAUUUAAAUAUUGAAAUAAAUGUACUAGGUUAUGUAAUCCAUCAAGUUAGCAAGUAAGCAUGGUUUAUAUGGAGCCAAGUAAGAUUAAAAAAUUUAAUACAGCCAAGGUGUUAACACAGGAUCAUAUAAAGAGGUUUUAGUCAUAUGAUUUACACAAAUAAAGUGAACUUAAAAUAUAAAAAAUCCACAUGUAUUUAAACAAUUUUAAUACCCAAUCAGUGGCAAAUUACCUAGGACAAAUUAAUGGCAGAUCAUGUGACUCAUAUAUAUCCAUACAAGCUUCAUAUUAGUAUAUAAUGUGACAAAUCAUAUUAUACAACCAGUUUUACCAUUCUUAACAGAAUACAGGUAAUAGCAGCUAAACGGACAGGGCAAGCAUGAUUUAACACAGAACAGAUUUUUUUUUUUUUUUAAUAACACCACAACUCAGAUUCUUAUCACAACAUAUUUUCAAUAUAAGAGAGCAUUGGCAUAUAGGGACAAAAGAAUCACACGUACUAUACUAUAUGCAGAUCGAUACAUGCAUAACAGAUUAAUAUAGAGCUCAACCAGGAUUAAUAACCAAAUCAUCAAAAUCAGCUUAAUCAAGAUUCCGAGCAAGCAAUUUAACAAGUCAGAGCAAACAAUUAAAAUAUCACCAGCAUAUAUAAACACUUCAGCAGCCAAGACAUGGAACACAGCCACAUAUUCUUGUAUAAAGCACAUGGAUUCAAGGCAUAGACUCAACCAGCAGCCAAUCUCACCAAACAGAUCUCACCACAACCAUAUACAAUAAUUACGAAAUAUGUAUAUGCAUGAAAAUAUAGAGCGUCUUAGGCCGUUAGAGCCCCUCACCAGGUCCAAGGCAUUGAAACUCUUGGAUCCUUACCUAAACCCAGUGAAUCAGUUUAGAUGGAGGUUCUGAAAUCUUGACUCAGCCUCCUGGAGAGAUGAUUUGUGCGCUCAUCAGGACACCAAAAACUCGACAUCAGCUUGAGAUCGAGUUAGGGUAUUCAAACCCUUACUCUCAAAUGCGAUUAGAUCGCCCUCAAAACUGAUGCGAGGCAUCGCCGAGCCAUGACAUGCCAAAAAUCAGACCCCUUUGCUCAUCGCAGACUAAGGUUUCAAAACCCCUAAUUGAGUCAUCUGCAACAUAGAGGGUUAGACGAAAAACAAAUUCAAAUCUACUCUUAUUCUUGGCGAAACACAUCAGACCACUCGAGUUCGAGUUGGGGUAUGAGAAACCCUAACUCUCAAAAGCGAUUUAACGCACUCGAGGGGUGCACAGAGUCUCGAUUCAACUGAAUGGGUACGAAACACAACAUCGUUGCCUUAGGGUUUAGAAACCCUAACAUCAAGAACCUGCAAAAACAAUGAAAUUAGUUCAACUAAACUCCGUAGCCUCCGAUUCAGCACAUCCUGCACAAAAGGGCUCGAAAAGUCGUUAGUUUCGACUUAAAGUUCAAAAACCCUAAAAUCAGGGUUUCGUGAAAUCAACAACCGAGAUAUAUAUAUAUAUGUAUACAGAUGUCUGGCUUCGAUUAAUCUCGCCGAAAAUGAUGAUUUCGACAAGAGUAUGUAUCGAAAACCAAUCGAUUUUACCCAAUCCAUCAAGAACACAAAGAGUUUAAAUCAAAAACUCGAGAUAAAAACUCAAGAAAGAUGAAGUGUAGAUGCUUGAUUUUGUAAAAGAGAUUUAAAAGGGACGAAGGCAAUCGCCGGAGUAAGAGAGGCGAGAUGUUUCGAGAGAGAGGCGGAGAGAAACAUAGGAGAGGCUAG